RNAcentral lists this long non-coding RNA (2299 nucleotides) under Brassica napus (rape). RNAcentral's name for it is "long non-coding RNA (BNAP_LNC004723)". Lineage: Eukaryota; Viridiplantae; Streptophyta; Magnoliopsida; Brassicales; Brassicaceae. The record is from RNAcentral.
CUGUAAGUUGCUGCCCCAGUACCAAAGGUGAUAACAUCUCCAUCACUGAGAAUCCUCUCCUUGUUAGGUAGCUCAUGGACUUUGUCUUUUGUCCCGGGGUCAGUUUUGAUAAAAGUGCCAUACUUUGAACAAUCUUUGACACGGAUAACAAAUGAGGUGUCGGGAGAUUUAUUCCUGCGAGAGGUUGAGGCAACUGUUGCGUCGAAAGUUAACUCUGCGUGGAUCCUAGACACUCCCUUAUCCUUAUUGAUAAUGAUGUCACAUCCUAUACAAUAAACAACACCAUAGUCACAUAUUUAUAUCAAACAAGGAACAAGAAAGAGGAUUAAAGUUAUGUAAGAAUACCUUUGCGACCAAUCUUGUAAUUCAGAAUCCAAAGGCUUUCUAAUACCUUUCUAAAUCGCUUGAAGUCAACCACUCCUGUAGACCGGACAUCUCUUAUUGACCGCAGAUCCCUAACAAUGAGAUGUUGAGUGUAGAUAACCUCCGAGUUGCCACAUUCAGGCUCAUCGUUACGAUCCCUUUUGAUUGUCGUCACAUCAUUGUAGUCUUUCAUUUCGGUAUCUGCCGUCAAGUUGACGCUUUUAAACUCAUUCAAAUUCAUAGUUUCUUCCACUAUCGCAACAGGACUCUCCUCUAUCACGAUAGCAGCAUCAGGCUUCUCUGGUGUUUCCGCCUUCUCGGUGGCGUCGAUCAUAUGAACUGACGAUGUUGUUUCUUCCUCUUCGACAUCAGAGUCUGCUACCACUGUCUCAUCCGUGGAGCAUGACGAUGAAAUUACAACUACAAACAGUAAAAUGUUUCAAGAUAAGAGUUCAGAGAUUUAUAUAAUCUAAACAAAAGCAAAUAUGUUUGGCUUUGUGUGUGUGUACUCACCAGAAGGUGGUAUCAACGAAGUCGAAGGUAGAGUUCCAGACAAGACAGAGCUUAUUAAGUCCAUCUCGUUCACUCUAGAUAACAGACUGAGAUGCUUCAAACGGGCAAACUUGUCUCCUGAGCUUAUUGGGAUGACACAUAUCAUCCGAUUAGCUUCUCCAUACUGAGAUUCCUGUAAAAGUUGAUUAUGGUUUUGUUAUGGCUACUUACAGAAAGACCAAAUGAGCCAAAAUAAUAUAAAAGCACACAAACCUGACUCAUGGAGCUAAUCUCUGCUACGGCAACAGUCUCUGCGCCACAUAGUUUGAGUAAAGAUGAGAAGCUGCUACCAAACCUGUACUGCAUAAGGGAAACAAAGAGCGAAAGAAUAGGUAAAUGCAUGUUCAUCAAUGACUAUUUUAAGCACUUAAGAGAUUAUUAUACGGUGUCUGUUGGUUCCAACACAAAGGUGAAUCCUUGUAGACAUUUUUCACGGACGUUUGGUUCCAUUACAUCCACCAAAGCUUCUUCCACCAUCACUGAUGGUCUGUACCUGUAUUUAUAAAUUAGCAUGUCAGUAACUGCAGAGUUUGUUCUGUAACUACAUAAAAGCAUUGAGACAAUACUCACUGACUGUUUCCAGGAAACUCGCUGCGGAUACUUUUCUCUCCAAGAAGCUACAAAACAAAACCACUGAAAGUUAUAGAACCCAUUAAUAAACCAACAAAGAGGGGUGAGAAAGGUAUUCUCUGACAUACCUUAACCCAAUUCGUCAAAAUGAUGGGUUUUUGGGCUAAAACUGCAUUGAGUAGAGCUUCAUUCACUUGCAUAUGCGGCUCAACAAGAACAUGUGUGCACUCCUCACUCAAUGUAGGAGCAAUACGAGCACCUAAGUAAUCAACAUAGUUAAGUAUACAACUACAAGAACCAAGUUUACUUGCAUAACGUUUGUCACUAACCAAUUGCUGAAACAGCAUCUUGUACCGAACGAUCCACCUUAAAGGUCUCAGAGGAAGGGCAGAAGUAAAACACCAGCGGAAUCAAAGACAACCUGCAUUGAUUUUUAUUUGAAACAAAACAGAUUAAGCCAUAUUAUUAUACAAGUUAAAAACAAAAUAUCAGAUUGAGUGAGUAGCUAGUAAUACCUGUAAGUUGCUGCCCCAGUACCAAAGGUGAUAACAUCUCCAUCACUGAGAAUCCUCUCCUUGUUAGGUAGCUCAUGGACUUUGUCUUUUGUCCCGGGGUCAGUUUUGAUAAAAGUGCCAUACUUUGAACAAUCUUUGACACGGAUAACAAAUGAGGUGUCGGGAGAUUUAUUCCUGCGAGAGGUUGAGGCAACUGUUGCGUCGAAAGUUAACUCUGCGUGGAUCCUAGACACUCCCUUAUCCUUAUUGAUAAUGAUGUCACAUCCUAUACAAUAAACAACACCAUAGUCACAGAUUUA